Molecule: non-coding RNA, 72 nt
Organism: Potamilus streckersoni
Lineage: Eukaryota; Metazoa; Mollusca; Bivalvia; Unionida; Unionidae
Source: the annotation of a GenBank genome assembly
GCUCCGGUGGCCUAGGGUUAGAGCGUCUGCCUCGAAUGCGGAAGAUCGCAGGUUCGAACCCCGGCCAAGUCG